RNAcentral lists this ribosomal RNA (500 nucleotides) under uncultured bacterium. RNAcentral's name for it is "partial 16S ribosomal RNA". It matches the Rfam family "Bacterial small subunit ribosomal RNA", at positions 29 to 523 of the family's 1533-position model. The record is from RNAcentral.
AUUGAACGCUGGCGGCAUGCCUUACACAUGCAAGUCGAACGGCAGCACGGGAGCAAUCCUGGUGGCGAGUGGCGAACGGGUGAGUAAUAUAUCGGAACGUGCCCAGUAGUGGGGGAUGACUGCUCGAAAGAGCAGCUAAUACCGCAUACGACCUGAGGGUGAAAGCGGGGGAUCGCAAGACCUCGCGCUAUUGGAGCGGCCGAUAUCAGAUUAGCUAGUUGGUGAGGUAAGGGCUCACCAAGGCGACGAUCUGUAGCUGGUCUGAGAGGACGACCAGCCACACUGGGACUGAGACACGGCCCAGACUCCUACGGGAGGCAGCAGUGGGGAAUUUUGGACAAUGGGCGCAAGCCUGAUCCAGCCAUGCCGCGUGCGGGAAGAAGGCCUUCGGGUUGUAAACCGCUUUUGUCAGGGAAGAAACGGCUCCUACUAAUACUGGGGGCUAAUGACGGUACCUGAAGAAUAAGCACCGGCUAACUACGUGCCAGCCGCCGCGGUAA